Molecule: ribosomal RNA, 537 nt
Filed under: Bifidobacterium adolescentis
Lineage: Bacteria; Bacillati; Actinomycetota; Actinomycetes; Bifidobacteriales; Bifidobacteriaceae
Description: bacterial SSU rRNA
Rfam family: Bacterial small subunit ribosomal RNA
Source: RNAcentral
GGGGAAACGGGUGGUAAUGCCGGAUGCUCCGACAUGACGCAUGUCGUGUCGGGAAAGAUUCAUCGGUAUGGGAUGGGGUCGCGUCCUAUCAGCUUGAUGGCGGGGUAACGGCCCACCAUGGCUUCGACGGGUAGCCGGCCUGAGAGGGCGACCGGCCACAUUGGGACUGAGAUACGGCCCAGACUCCUACGGGAGGCAGCAGUGGGGAAUAUUGCACAAUGGGCGCAAGCCUGAUGCAGCGACGCCGCGUGCGGGAUGACGGCCUUCGGGUUGUAAACCGCUUUUGACUGGGAGCAAGCCCUUCGGGGUGAGUGUACCUUUCGAAUAAGCACCGGCUAACUACGUGCCAGCAGCCGCGGUAAUACGUAGGGUGCAAGCGUUAUCCGGAAUUAUUGGGCGUAAAGGGCUCGUAGGCGGUUCGUCGCGUCCGGUGUGAAAGUCCAUCGCUUAACGGUGGAUCCGCGCCGGGUACGGGCGGGCUUGAGUGCGGUAGGGGAGACUGGAAUUCCCGGUGUAACGGUGGAAUGUGUAGAUAUC